Molecule: ribosomal RNA, 253 nt
Filed under: uncultured bacterium
Lineage: Bacteria
Description: partial 16S ribosomal RNA
Rfam family: Bacterial small subunit ribosomal RNA
Source: RNAcentral
UACGUAGGGUGCAAGCGUUGUCCGGAAUUAUUGGGCGUAAAGAGCUCGUAGGCGGUCUGUCGCGUCGGCUGUGAAAACCCGGGGCUCAACCCCGGGCCUGCAGUCGAUACGGGCAGACUAGAGUGUGGUAGGGGAGACUGGAAUUCCCGGUGUAGCGGUGAAAUGCGCAGAUAUCGGGAGGAACACCAGUAGCGAAGGCGGCACUCUGGGCCGGUACUGGCGCUGAGGAGCGAAAGCGUGGGGAGCAAACAGG